ACGCUCGACACCUACGGGAGGCAGCAGUUAGGAAUAUUGGGCAAUGGAGGGAAACUCUGACCCAGCAACGCCGCGUGAAGGAAGAAGGUUUUCGGAUUGUAAACUUCUGAUCUAGGGGAAGAAGGAAGUGACGGUACCCUAGGAGAAAGCCACGGCUAACUACGUGCCACAGCCGCGGUAAUCUGAGCGGGCUGGCAAGGC
RNAcentral lists this ribosomal RNA (201 nucleotides) under uncultured bacterium. RNAcentral's name for it is "partial 16S ribosomal RNA". It matches the Rfam family "Bacterial small subunit ribosomal RNA", at positions 328 to 539 of the family's 1533-position model. The record is from RNAcentral.